This 178-nucleotide small nuclear RNA is filed under the name Zea mays. RNAcentral describes it as "U2 spliceosomal RNA". It matches the Rfam family "U2 spliceosomal RNA". From Rfam's summary of the family: U2 is a small nuclear RNA (snRNA) component of the spliceosome (involved in pre-mRNA splicing). Complementary binding between U2 snRNA (in an area lying towards the 5' end but 3' to hairpin I) and the branchpoint sequence (BPS) of the intron results the bulging out of an unpaired adenosine, on the BPS, which initiates a nucleophilic attack at the intronic 5' splice site, thus starting the first of two transesterification reactions that mediate splicing. Lineage: Eukaryota; Viridiplantae; Streptophyta; Magnoliopsida; Poales; Poaceae. The record is from Rfam by way of RNAcentral.
AUAUCUUUCUCGGCCUUUUGACUAAGAUAAUAUGUAAUAUUUAUUUUUAUCAAUUUAAUAUCUGGUAUGUGCACCACAUGUCCACUUUUUUGUGGAGAUGGUCCACCACAUAGGCUUACCAUUGGGUACUCACGUGUCGCCCAACCAUGCACUACUGGUAGGGUUUGACGCACCCAAC